GGAAAUAAGGGGCAGGUUAACUCUGUUAAGGCUGUUGUCUAAUUGAGUGUAGAAUUCUCAUUGUAGCCUCAAGAUGCUGCCUCUCACUGUAUGCUUCUAAGCAUUGGAGUUUGCGAGUCUUUGACACUUGUAUUUUUAACAUACAUAGUUGAUGUGUGUGCGUGCACGCAUGCUUUCAUUUUGUUUUCCUGCCCCAGUUUAAGCUUUAAAUAUCAACUGUAUAGCACAAGUGUGUGUGGGUAGAGUUUGAUAUUGUUAGGUUUAUUAAGGCAAUGUUCAUGCAGAAGGUGUGAACUUAGAAAACCAAAAUCAAUACUGAAAUAAGGGGGUUUCAGAUAUUGGAUUGGCAGACUAACAUUCCAUGUAAAUGAAUUGCAUAAAUUCUAUUAAUGGAUCAUCUUCUCUGAUUGUUUAUUUGUCUUAAAUGGUAAAAAUUCAGCCUUCACAUGAUUGAUUUUAGUGCUACUUUUUAGCAUGUCAAGGUAAUACAAAUUUAUUAGAGGGCCUGCGCCACAACAUAUUUUGACCUUCUCACUAUGAUAUAAGCUUAUGAUCUCUACAUGUGCAUUUUACUGUUUUAUGCAAAUCUUUCCCAAUAACUGCUUGUUGAGGGUUAUGCAUAGCAAUGACCUAUCCUUAUCAUAUAAAUUUCUCUUUGGACAGAUCGAUAUAUUGACUCUGCUAGAUGGUAGGAACUAAGCUUUUGUAGUUGGGUAUCCUGUACAUCAAUUGUAUUUUAUUUGCAGAGCACGCGAUGUGGUCCAAUAUUGAGGGACUGAACGCAAAAGUUAUUUUUGAAAAUUGCAUAACAACGACCAUGCUCUGGAAGUGAGUACUGGAAAGAAUGGAAGGAACUGUAGCCAAAAGAACCCUUGUAUGCUGCUUCUAUCAUAAAUGACCUCAUCCAGCUAAAAAGGCAAUGUUAUCUCAUCCAUUUUCAAGAGGUUACAGGUGUCGAAUAAUGAUGCAGAACUUCAAAGAUGCUGAUAAGGUUGGCAUUUAUAUAUAUGGUGCUGUCUGUCUCCCAUAGUUUCGAAGUCAAGAGUUCAAACCUUAAUAGUUCCCAUCUCAUUUAAGAAAUUCUGAAGUAUAAAU
Molecule: unclassified non-coding RNA, 1095 nt
Filed under: Hevea brasiliensis (rubber tree)
Lineage: Eukaryota; Viridiplantae; Streptophyta; Magnoliopsida; Malpighiales; Euphorbiaceae
Source: RNAcentral